AGUGAAACAGAGAGAAAAUAGUAAUAUGUAUUAAAAUUCUCGAGAAACCACGAGCUUACAUAGACACGCACACACAUCAGUAGGAAAAUUCAUUUUACAUAGACCCUACAACUCGACGAACUAGUUUACUUGCAAUUAAAAUUAUAGGAAAGUAUAUUAAAUUAACCACAUUACACAAGCUUUCUGAUAAAAAUAUGAUAUAAUAAUUAAAACUUAUUUAAAUAAUUCCAUGCAGUUAAAUUCACGUUCAAAUGAAAUUUUUGGACUUCUGUUAAAUUCACCAAUGGGACUUCUAACUUGUAAAAUGUAAUCACUGGUUAUCUUUGAAGUACUUGUCCCAAACCCUAAAACCACUAAAAUUGAUCGCACGAUCUUAAUGAAUAUAGUGGAGUUGUAAUAAAUGAAUAUAUUCUCGGAUAUAACAUACUAGUAUAUUUUAGAGUUAGCUGCAACGAGUUUUUACGUGUUAUGUAGAUGUUCGACCGAAAUUAGGAAAAGAAAUGAUUUUUGAUUGUGUUAGAAAUGUGUCUAAAUUGUUAAUAUCGAAAUUAUUUCUAUAAUUUCAUAUGAUGUUCCUCAUAGAAAAGGAUUUUACUGCGUCACGACUAAAGAAUAAACGCUACGCAUCAUAAAUCAUUUGCUUCUUGAAUUUGUACUCAGUUUGAGAUAUAUAUCUAAGAUAAACUAAAAAUUCACAGAGAUAUCUAUGACACAAAUAAGCCUUGGCCACGGAUUCUUUUAGUUUUGAUUAGUAAUUGAUAUUAAAGCAAAAUUAUAAAGAAUUUUUUUAUCUAAUCGAAUUUUAUCAUCUGACAAUAAUCGGAUUCAAUCGCCAAAAACCCAAAUUUCAAAUCAAAUUUUUGAAGGAACUAUUUAGCUUAAAUUCAUACAUCUAAUAUAUUAUUGAUAUAUUAUGCUCCACGUCUCCAUUUAUUUGAAAAUAAAAAUCCUAGAUUUAAAAGUUGAAAUGUUCUUUUUUAAGCAAAAAUAAAUUCAAACAAGACACAAUCUUAUUCGAAAGAAUAAGAAAAAAACUUUAAUGGAACGCAAUAUAUAUAAUAAACGAGAAAAAAAAUCAAAUCUCGUUUUUCUUCGUUAUUCUGUACGUUCUUGAAAACAGGGCUUUCCCUGUUAGAGAAAUAGAGUUUUCGUUUAUUAAAAAAUUUACAUAUUUAGUGUAAUAAAAAUAUUCGUGAUUGUUUUUAUUGUUCGUUCGUUAAAAAUUAGUUCUCGAGCGAUUCAAAGUCUAUAUCUAAUUUGAAUAGUAUAUACAGGAGCUUAAAAGAUAAAUAAAGUGGAAGAAUGUGUAGAUUGCUUACAGAAGAAUAUUAUACCAUAAGAAAAGUCUAUUUUUAUAUGAAUUAAAAAAAUAAAACAUAAUCAUCCUUCAGAAGAUUAUUAUAAUGCGCAUUCCAUAAAUCAUACAGUCUCAUAAUAUCAUAAUAAUAUCGUUUAAACAGCAUCCUUUUCGUUUAAGAUUUAAUAAUUGAUAAAUUUUAUACUUACAAUUUUAAACCUGUAAUUUUUAUAUAUUUAAUUCUUACAUAUUUUGAUAAUAACAACUAAUGAAUAACCGACAACAACAAUUAUUAAUCACUCGACUAAACUUGCGUCCUUUAGAAGUUUUUAUUACCUAUUCACUGUAAAUCUAUAGCCUUAUCUGUUUAUAAAUAGAAGAGGGGAGAGAGAGAGAGAGAGAGAGAGAGAGAGAAAAGAUGUUAUCAAUUCUAUUUGUUACGACCUUCGUCGUUUACCUUAAAGGUAGAUGCGUAUAUUCCAGUUCAGUUUCAGAUCAGUCUCCGUACCGUCGACGUAAUUUACAUUAAAGGAGUUAUCUCGCGUUCGAUAAAUUCGCAGAGGCGUUGUCUAAGCAGAAUUCGAUGUAAGAAAAUCGAAACUCUCUUUCGUUAUCGAAUAAUUUAUUAUCAAGGGGUGAAGAACGAAGAGGUCACGGAGAGGAGCAAAUGGUGGAACGAAAGUGCAAAUUACAACUACGUAUUUCUAGAUUCGUUCGGUAUUCGUUCUUCCGUACGGGAAAAAGAUACCGGCUGAUUCCCGCUAGCUCGAUGGCACGGAAAAUGCAGGAAAUUGCACUCGCGGCGAAACGAGAAGCGUAAUUUAGAACAGACUGCUGCAACCUAGACUUUCUCCACUAGUGCGCUACCCUCUAAAAUGUUCCAUCUUUCUCUCUCUUACACACUCUUCUUUGGAUAGGCUCACGUUUCGAACUUGAGUCGAGUACUCGACUACGCCUACGAAUACGGAAGAGGAAGAGAAAGAGAAAGGGAGAGAAAGAGAAAGAGAGACAGAAGAUGUCACCAGUGCUAGCAGCUCUUGUAGUUUUUGUAGGUGGACCCGAUCUUUGUGGAUCUUGUCGUGGCCUGCAAUAGAUGAUUUUCCGGAAAGCUUUUCGGAAAUUAUCGCUGAGAAAAGCGUAAAGGAUGGGGUUGACGCAGCUAUUGGUAUACGCCAGGAUAUGACUCGCUAUCUGGACCAUAAUCGUCGCUGACUUUAAAGGAUAUGCCUCUAAAGACUUCGUAACUAAUAUUACCUGUAAAAAUAAAUAGAUAAUUCUUUUUUUUUUUAAGUACCUAUACGUUAACCAAAACAAUUUGCUGAGAUUAAAUGAUUACGAUAGUAGAAGUACGAACGAUAUUCAUCUACUCAAAAAAUGGAUAUAUUACAUAGUACACCUAUAUUAAUUAAAUGUUUUUUCGUUUCAAUUAAUUCAUUAUAGAGGAUUGGUUAAUCAAGAAUUACUAUGAUUGUUUCAGUUAAAUAAUUAAAUCUAUCAUAUUGAUGGAUAAAAUCGUCAUUGGCCUAAUUUAUUUUGUAAAAAUAUUUAAGUCUUGAAAAGGUAAAAAAUAUUUAACUCACCUGGAUCGGACACCAACAUAUAGCGAAAACUCCUACAACGACGAGAACCAAACGAGUAACUCGUCUUCUCCCUCGUCGACUCUCGGCACUAACACGAGCACCACGCCAUAGUCUGACAAGCAUACAGACGUAAAAGACGCAUAUCAACGUCAAUGGCAGCAAGUAACUCGUUAGGAAGAAGGAUACCUGGAAAAAGGACCAAUCAUAUUGCGGUAGGAUCCGACAAGCCGUCGACGAGUUGUCCAAGUCCUGAAACGUAAAGCGAAUCUACAUACAUAAGGGAACGACUCUCGUGAGAGAAAAGAGGCUAUGAAUUAGGGAAGAUAAGAGACAUCGAAAGAUCAAAUUUUGUAACAAAUUUCAGUAAAUCAUUGAAUCGAAUA
Molecule: long non-coding RNA, 3260 nt
Organism: Vespula vulgaris
Lineage: Eukaryota; Metazoa; Arthropoda; Insecta; Hymenoptera; Vespidae
Exons: 3
Source: RefSeq, a predicted model, not a curated record